CCUACGGGUGGCAGCAGUGAGGAAUAUUGGUCAAUGGGCGCGAGCCUGAACCAGCCAAGUCGCGUGAGGGAAGACGGCCCUACGGAUUGUAAACCUCUUUUGUCGGGGAGCAAAAGACGCCACGCGUGCCGUUCCGAGAGUGCCCCAAGAAAAAACAUCCGGUAACUUCGUGCCAGCAGCCGCGGGAAUACGGAGGAGGCGCGCGUUAUCCGGAUUUAUUGGGUUUAAGGGGUGAGCAGGCGGAUGAUAAAGGCAGCGGUAAAAUUGAGAGGCUCAACCUCGUCGAGCCGUUGAAACUGGUGGUCUUGAGUGAGCGAGAGGAAGGCGGAAUGCGUGGUGUAGCGGUGAAAUGCAUAGAUAUCACGCAGAACUCCGAUUGCGAAGGCAGGAUUCCGGCGCUCAACUGACGCUGAGGCACGAAAGUGCGGGUAUCGAACAGGAUUAGAUACCCUGGUAGUC
Molecule: ribosomal RNA, 459 nt
Filed under: uncultured bacterium
Lineage: Bacteria
Description: partial 16S ribosomal RNA
Rfam family: Bacterial small subunit ribosomal RNA
Source: RNAcentral